Molecule: ribosomal RNA, 420 nt
Filed under: uncultured bacterium
Lineage: Bacteria
Description: bacterial SSU rRNA
Rfam family: Bacterial small subunit ribosomal RNA
Source: RNAcentral
UUCGGGGUUUUGAGAGCGGCGCACGGGUGAGUAACGCGUACAUGACCUACCUUUAAGACUGGGAUAGCCCUGGGAAACUGGGAUUAAUACCGGAUGUGAUAAUAGAUAUAGAUAUUUAUUAUUAAAGCUGAGGCGCUUAGAGAUGGAUGUGCGUCUGAUUAGCUAGUUGGUAGGGUAACGGCCUACCAAGGCGACGAUCAGUAGGGGGCGUGAGAGCGUGACCCCCCACACGGGUACUGAGACACGGACCCGACUCCUACGGGAGGCAGCAGUAAGGAAUAUUGGUCAAUGGACGAAAGUCUGAACCAGCCAUCCCGCGUGCAGGAUGACUGCCCUAUGGGUUUGUAAACUGCUUUUGGCAGAGAAGAAAAGCAUUCUUUCAAGAGUGUCUGACGGUAUCUGCAGAAUAAGCACCGGCUA